CCUACGGGUGGCAGCAGUGAGGAAUAUUGGUCAAUGGCCGGAAGGCUGAACCAGCCAAGCCGCGUGCAGGAAGAAGGCUCCAUGCAUUGUAAACUUCUUUUGUCAGGGGAUAAACGCAGGCUCGCGUGCCUGUCUGAAGGUACCUUAAGAAUAAGCAUCGGCUAACUCCGUGCCAGCAGCCGCGGUAAUACGGAGGAUUCGAGCGUUAUCCGGAUUUAUUGGGUUUAAAGGGUGCGUAGGCGGGCUGUUAAGUUAGCGGUGAAACCCCGGGGCUCAACCCCGGCAGAGCCGUUGAAACUGGCUGGCUUGAGAGGUGGUGCGGUAGGCGGAAUGCGUGGUGUAGCGGUGUAAUGCUUAGAUAU
Molecule: ribosomal RNA, 362 nt
Filed under: uncultured bacterium
Lineage: Bacteria
Description: partial 16S ribosomal RNA
Rfam family: Bacterial small subunit ribosomal RNA
Source: RNAcentral